GACGAACGCUGGCGGCGUGCUUAACACAUGCAAGUCGAACGAUGAAGAAGAGAAACGCGAACUUCGGUUCAACUUUCACUUCGGAUUAGUGGCAGACGGGUGAGUAACGCGUGAGCAACCUACCUCUUACAAAGGGAUAGCCUCGGGAAACCGUGAUUAAUACCAUAUGACACAUUCAUAAGGCAUCUUAAGAAUGUUAAAGCUACGGCGGUAAGAGAUGGGCUCGCGUCCCAUUAGCUAGUUGGUGAGGUAACGGCCCACCAAGGCGACGAUGGGUAACCGGCCUGAGAGGGUGAACGGUCACAUUGGAACUGAGACACGGUCCAAACUCCUACGGGAGGCAGCAGUGGGGAAUAUUGCACAAUGGAGGGAACCCUGAUGCAGCGACGCCGCGUGAGCGAUGAAGGAAUUCGUUUCGUAAAGCUCUGUUCUAUGGGAAGAAAAGGACUGUACCAUAGGAGAAAGCCCCGGCUAAAUACGUG
RNAcentral lists this ribosomal RNA (482 nucleotides) under uncultured bacterium. RNAcentral's name for it is "partial 16S ribosomal RNA". It matches the Rfam family "Bacterial small subunit ribosomal RNA", at positions 28 to 507 of the family's 1533-position model. The record is from RNAcentral.